GUAGGUUAUCGUGUUACAAUUUUCUUUAUUAUUAAAGCUUUGCUUGACAUAUACACGAGCCACUUACUUUGCUGAAAGAAAAGCAACUAUGCUGAAGACUGGUGGGAUAUUCUAAACUUGAGUGAGUGAGGGGAUAUUCCCAGUCUGACAGGAGGAUUAAUUCAUUUAUUUUUAAGAAUGGCAGAUCAAGUUGAUGGAUUAUGCCAAAAUGGCUAAAAUGACUGAAAGAAUCAGAAAUCAGGAAGACCAAAAUUUUAAUAAGGAAUGGUGAAAAUUUAUAACCUAUCUUAAAAACCAUGGUAAAUAGUUAAAAUCAUUAGUAGGAUUGGAAUUUCACUUGUACCUUACUGGUGAAUUUUGGACACAAUGGAGACGUAAAAGAUUUUGAUUAUCAUAAAAGAUGCAGGAGGAAAUGAUUAACAAUAGGACCCACAAAGGGGAGGAGGGAAGUCCAAGAUAUUCCUUGGAAUCUUGUUUUUAUUUUGUUUGUUUAAUAUGUGACUGUAAAUUUUUAAUCUGAAUUUAAAAAAUAAAAAUAAAUAAAGAUUUUUUUAAAUCACCCCCACCCUCCACAACACAGACAACCUCGGAAGGUGGUGAUUCUCCUUCAUUGGAAGUUUCUAAGCAUAUGUCGGAUGUCCAUCUGUCAGGAAGUCUUUAGCUGUGUUUCCCGCAUUGCAGGGGGUUGGACUAGAUGACCCUUGGGUCCCUUCCAACUCUACAAUUCUGCGAUUCUGUGAGUCACACCACAGAGACAAAAAUUUCUAGAUCAAGGUAUGCAGGCUGUAACCAACUACCAAAGCUGCUGAACAACUUUAAUAAUAAUAAUAAUAAUAAUAAUAAUAAUAAUAAUUUGAUACCCCGCCCAUCCGGCUGGGUUUCCCCAGCCACUCUGGGCGGCUUCCAACAAAAUAUUAAAAAUACAAUAAAACAUCAAACAUUAAAAACUUUCCUAUGCCAUCUUCACCUGAGGAAAAUGAAUAGCUGUUCCACUGUUUUGUUUUGUGUUUUUAAAAAAGUCAGAUCUUCCAAGAUGUGUUGCAUGGAGAGAGGAGAGAAACUGGACAAGGGAGAAGAAUCACAACAUCAUGAAGCCAACACGGCUAAAACUGGAUAAACAAAGCCUUGCUCAUUCAUAGUCAAUGCCGGGUCUGGAAGAAGUCUGAGAAAUUGUUCUGCUAGAAAGAUGAGCAGGUGUGCUUAAUUGUUGAGUGGGGGGGGCAGGAGGUGGUCAUUAUUUGUCUUUUUAGUUGCCUAAUAUCUUUAGCAUAAGUCUGGAAGAAAACAUUGUCCUGGAAUGGGAAAAGACUGAGUUCUGUGGAAAGGAAUCUGAUGAAGAAAACCUCAAACAGAGGUCCCCCUGCAGCCUCAGCAGAUCUCUGGAGGAAAGCGCUUGAAAACUCUUCCUGGAUGCCCCAUCUCAGGGUUUAACAAGGGAAUUCAAAAUCCUGUUAGUUUCAUUCCUAAUUAUGUUACAACAGCGCAGCGUGGAAG
Molecule: non-coding RNA, 1494 nt
Organism: Podarcis lilfordi (Lilford's wall lizard)
Lineage: Eukaryota; Metazoa; Chordata; Lepidosauria; Squamata; Lacertidae
Source: the annotation of a GenBank genome assembly